Salvelinus fontinalis (brook trout) is the source of this 3326-nucleotide long non-coding RNA. RefSeq lists it as uncharacterized. The transcript has 3 exons. The record is from RefSeq and is a predicted model, not a curated record. NCBI's taxonomy places the organism in Eukaryota, Metazoa, Chordata, Actinopteri, Salmoniformes, Salmonidae.
UAGAGGGGUGGACAACACACAGACACACAGGCAGAGGCACGCGGGACAGAUGGACACACAUAUAUACUGACAGUCACAGAUACACUGUGUGAGUCCAGAUGGAAACACACACACACACAGACACAGGCAAAGAUGUUCACACAGAUACACACACCAGGGUUUUCGUUAGCCUGCAAUUGCCGGCUUUUGGCCGAUCCAAAAAAUAAAAAUCCUCUCUCCAGAGAUGUUCGAUCGGGUUCAAGUCCAGGCUCUGGCUAGGCCACUCAAGGACAUUCAGAGACUUGUCCCGAAGACACUCCUGCGUUGUCUUGGCUGUGUGCUUAGGGUCGUUGUCCUGUUGGAAGGUGAACCUUUGCCCCAGUCAGGUCCUGAGCGCUCUGGAGAAGGUUUUCAUCAAGGAUCUCUCUGUACUUUGUUCUGUUCAUCUUUCCCUCGAUCCUGACUAGUCUCCCAGUCCCUGCAUUGAAAAACAUCCCACAGCAUGAUGCUGCCACCACCAUGCUUCACUGUAGGGAUGGUACCAGGUUUCCUCCAAACAUGACGUUUGGCAUUCAGGCCAAAGACUUCAAUCUUGGUUUCAUCAAACCAGAGAAUCUUGUUUCUCAUGGUAUGAGAGUCCUUUUGGUGCCUUUUGGCAAACUCCAAGUGGGCUGUCAUGAGUCUUUUACUGAGGAGUGGCUUCCAUCUGGCCACUUUACUAUAAAGGCCUGAUUGGUGGAGUGCUGCAGAGAUGGUUGUCCUUCUGGAAGGUUCUCCCAUUUCCACAGAUGAACUCUGGAACUCUGUCAGAGUGACCAUCGGGUUCUUGGUCACCUCCCUGACCAAGGCCCUUCUCCCCUGAUUGCUCAAUUUGGCCGGGCAGCCAGCUCUAGGAAGAGUCUUGGUGGUUCCAAACUUCCAUUUAAGAACGAUGGAGGCCACUAUGUUCUUGGGGACCUUCAAUGCUGCAGAAAUGUUUUGGUACCCUUCCCCAGAUCUGUGCCUUGACACAAUCCUGUCUCGGAGCUCUACCCACAAUUCCUUCAACCUCAUUGCUUGGUUUUUGCUCUGACAUGCACUGUCAACUGUGGGACUUUAUAUAGACAGGUGUGUGCCUUUCCAAAUCAUGUCCAACAUAGCUCAAUUUCGAGUCUCAUAGCAAAGGGUCUGAAAAAGUAUGUAAAUAAGGUAUUUCUAAAGUUACUUUUUUAUAAAUGUGCAAAAAUGUCUAAAAACCUGUUUUCACACUGUAAUUAUGGGGUAUUGUGUGUAGAUUGAUGAGGAAAAACUAUUUUUGAAUACAUUUUAGAAUAAGACUGUAACGUAGCAAAAUGUGGAAAAAGUCAAGGGGUCUGAAUACUUUCUGAAUGCACUGUAUCUUCUCCACACACCCCUCCCCUUCUUGUUUCCACAUUUUAAAUUAUACUCAAGACACGUUAACUUCACAUAUUUGAGAUGCUUAUCACUGACAGCCGCAACUCAAUAAUCAGCUAGGCAUAUUGCCAAGCGCGCUGCCCAAAUUACGGGUUUCCCAAAUGGGCAUAGGCCUAUGAGCUUGUGGUUUGAAACAAUCCACAGCAAUUUUUUUCAGAAGUAGCUAAUGAUCCUCGAAUCCUCUGUGGUUAAAUCAUGCUUUCUGGUGAAGUAUUUUAUUUAUUUCUGUAUAGACAGGAGUAAUUAUAUAAUUUUGGAAAAUGUAUUUCCCUUUACUUCCCUAUUGGACCCUCCACUAUGCCAUUUCUCUCCUGUUGUAUUGAUUUUCAUAAUCAACUUUAUUUCGCUGUCCAGAAGCCAGACUCACAAUCCUAGUCAUAUUAGCAACUAGUUGUUGCAUCUUUAGGUUCCCCCUCUUUCUAAGUUUCUAACGUACAGUAUGGAACCGCCAUAAGGUGCACAGUUUAGAAUGGUGUUUUCCCAGGUGCACAGUUUAGAAUGGUGUUUUCCCAGGUGCACUGUUUAGAAGGGUGUUUUCCCAGGUGCACUGUUUUAGAAGGGUGUUUUCCCAGGUGCACUGUUUUAGAAUGGUGUUUUCCCAGGUGCACUGUUUUAGAAGGGUGUUUUCCCAGGUGCACUGUUUAGAAUGGUGUUUUCCCAGGUGCACUGUUUAGAAUGGUGUUUUCCCAGGUUCACUGUUUUAAAAUGGUGUUUUCCCAGUGCACUGUUUUAGAAGGGUGUUUUCCCAGGUGCACUGUUUAGAAUGGUGUUUUCCCAGGUGCACUGUUUAGAAGGGUGUUUUCCCAGGUGCACUGUUUUAGAAGGGUGUUUUCCCAGGUGCACUGUUUUAGAAUGGUGUUUUCCCAGGUGCACUGUUUUAGAAGUGUGUUUUCCCAGGUGCACUGUUUAGAAGGGUGUUUUCCCAGGUGCACUGUUUAGAAUGGUGUUUUCCCGCUAAUUAUAUUUUGGAAAAUGUUUUAUUGAUUGCUUCAUUACAGGAGUUGCAUGUUCUGUUAAGAUGUAUUACCACAAUCUAAAUGUGAUUUCUGUCAUUCUGAGCACCGUGGGUGGACGCUCUAAUGGGUUAUGCACCCAAUGCAUAUGGAUCCGGCAAAUUUCUCAAAUGGGCGGUAAAUUUGAAUCUUCCCGGUCAAGUUGUCAAAAGGAAACCCUUACACGCACGCAUGCAACAUACAGCAUACACAUACAACAGGACACAGAUGAGCACGGCAUUGAUACAAGCGCUGACGCAGAGGUACACACACUGUAUGCUCCAAGACACACACAUGCCCCGAUGCACCGAGGUACACACGCAAAUGGAAACUAUGCACAAUGACACAGAUAGCUAAACAUAGACAGACACUCAUAUGGCCACCGCUAACUGAGAGCUGCGGUUGACAUUCUGUCUUAACCUAACAUUGGUUUCAUUCUCUCCUUCCAAGAUGAGAUGGAGGGACUGGACUUGGAGGGUAAGGUCUGGAGUAGAGGAGACCACAAAACACUCUUAUUAAAAAAGGUGUUAUCUAGAACCUAAAAGGGUUCUUCAGCUGUCCCCAUAGGAUAACCCUUUGAAAACCCCUUUUUGGUUCCAGGUAUAACCCUUUUGAGUUCAAUGUAGAACCCUUUCCAGAGAGGAAAGAGAUACUAACUAUUGUAGAGAUACUAGCUAUUGUAGUUAAAGGAAAUCAGCUCCUUGUUAGAGGCAAUAUCCCCUGGGCGAUGUUAGAUUAGCUUUGUCACUCUGCUGUGGUGGCUAGCAAAAUGCAUACCUAUAGCAAAGUUAUAUUUCCUGUUCUCCUGUAGAAUACUUUGUGGGAAGCAAACCCAUGUAUUAAAGGAAGACCACGUUUUCCUGAUGUGACCUUCCUCUUAUCUCUCUCCUCUCCCCCUCCCCUCUCUCCGUCCUCUGACCC